AGCGAACGCUGGCGGCAGGCUUAACACAUGCAAGUCGAGCGGGCAUCCUUGUGGUGUCAGCGGCAGACGGGUGAGUAACGCGUGGGAACGUGCCCUUCGGUUCGGAAUAACUCAGGGAAACUUGAGCUAAUACCGGAUACGUGCGAGAGCAGAAAGGUUUAUCUGCCGAAGGAUCGGCCCGCGUCUGAUUAGCUAGUUGGUGAGGUUAUGGCUCACCAAGGCGACGAUCAGUAGCUGGUCUGAGAGGAUGAUCAGCCACACUGGGACUGAGACACGGCCCAGACUCCUACGGGAGGCGGCAGUGGGGAAUAUGGGACAGGGGGGGCAACCCUGACCCGCCCAGGCCGCGUGAGUGAUGGCGGCCUUAGGGUUGUAAAGCUCUUUUUCCCGGGACGAAAAUGACGGUACCGGAGGAAUAAGCCCCGGCAAACUUCGG
RNAcentral lists this ribosomal RNA (436 nucleotides) under uncultured bacterium. Its description in RNAcentral is "partial 16S ribosomal RNA". It matches the Rfam family "Bacterial small subunit ribosomal RNA", at positions 29 to 506 of the family's 1533-position model. The record is from RNAcentral.